GCUGGAGUAGCUCAAUGGCAGAGCAGCUGACUUGUAAUCAGCAGGUUGCGGGUUCAAGUCCCAUCUCCAGCU
This 72-nucleotide transfer RNA is filed under the name Spirochaetes bacterium ADurb.Bin133. Its description in RNAcentral is "tRNA-Thr". It matches the Rfam family "tRNA". From Rfam's summary of the family: Transfer RNA (tRNA) molecules are approximately 80 nucleotides in length. The record is from RNAcentral. RNAcentral also lists the same sequence under 1 other name. Lineage: Bacteria; Pseudomonadati; Spirochaetota.